Molecule: long non-coding RNA, 1067 nt
Organism: Drosophila miranda
Lineage: Eukaryota; Metazoa; Arthropoda; Insecta; Diptera; Drosophilidae
Exons: 3
Source: RefSeq, a predicted model, not a curated record
GGCAGGUUCCAGUAGGGACUAGUUUUGGUUUGCCAGAACACACAAUUUUUUUCUCUCUCUCUCACUGUGUGGGUAAAUGCAGCUGAGGCAGGUUUUACUUUCGUGUUGCCACUCUACCAGACAGCCUCCCCUGCUAUUGAAUGUACCUUGGGUAGAACUAGAGGGAGAAUCAGCAGAAAAGGUAGAAUAUUAGUAAGAGGGAGAGGAGGAGAACUGCGCAACUGCUGAUUAGAACAUUAGCUUGUGACAGAUAAAAUAUUUUGUUUUUGAGCAGCAGCAGCGACGCGCCGCUAAUUUUAGCGCUGCUUUCAAAACAAACAAACAAGUCUCUCUGCCACGCUCGCUCUCUCAAACUCGCUCUCUAUCUCGCGGCAGCUCCAGUGCAAGGUGUAUGUUAUCAGGUGAGCUUGCAAAUAUUCAAGGACUUUCACUUCAAUUUUGAUGGAUGCGACUCGACUCCCGAAAUCAAGAGUGCGCUCUUUGAACGCCCCACCUUAUGGAAAAACACUGUCUGGCCGCGGUCGCUCUUCCAGAUUGCACGUGUAUGCGAUAAUAAGAGAGCGGGCACCACCGCUUACACGUAAGCUCCAGCGCUUAAGAAUGGUCUACUAGAAGCUGACCGAGGGGCGGGAGAGAGUGGUGAAUGACAGACUGACGAAGAGCAUAAGAGAGCGGUUGUGGUGGUGGCGGUGGUGGGAGAGGGAAGUAAAUAAAGCGGCGUUUCUGCCGCCACUGACGUCAACAAAUGGGGAGAUGUGGCAAGCUUUUUGGAAAACUCUUCAGUUCACAUAAAUCCAUGCAAUUAUCCAUAAUACCCAAAAAUUUACCUGUUUUUGGAGCUCAAAUUGUAUAUUGAGUACGCACAAACAUAUGCACCUAUGGAUACACCAACACACACAUAUAAUUAUGCACUUUUCAGUACUUUAUUCCUUUUAACUUAAACACCGCAAAAAUAAAAACAUUAUUUUGUAAGGCUGAUUAAUUAACACAUACUUAUCGACUUGGGAAUUUAUUCAGAUUAUUUGAUUUUCGUACCGAUUUUUGGUUUCGGGAGAAGUAAAAAAAAA